This 497-nucleotide ribosomal RNA is filed under the name uncultured bacterium. RNAcentral's name for it is "partial 16S ribosomal RNA". It matches the Rfam family "Bacterial small subunit ribosomal RNA", at positions 28 to 507 of the family's 1533-position model. The record is from RNAcentral.
GGUGAACGCUGGCGGCGUGCCUAAUACAUGCAAGUCGAGCGAACGGACGAGAAGCUUGCUUCUCUGAUGUUAGCGGCGGACGGGUGAGUAACACGUGGAUAACCUACCUAUAAGACUGGGAUAACUUCGGGAAACCGGAGCUAAUACCGGAUAAUAUUUUGAACCGCAUGGUUCAAAAGAGAAAGACGGUCUUGCUGUCACUUAUAGAUGGAUCCGCGCUGCAUUAGCUAGUUGGUAAGGUAACGGCUUACCAAGGCAACGAUGCAUAGCCGACCUGAGAGGGUGAUCGGCCACACUGGAACUGAGACACGGUCCAAACUCCUACGGGAGGCGGCAGUAGGGAAUCUUCCGCAAUGGGCGAAGGCCUGACGGAGCAACGCCGCGUGAGUGAUGAGGGUCUUCGGAUCGUAAAACUCUGUUAUUAGGGAAGAACAUAUGUGUAAGUAAAUGUGCACAUCUUGACGGUACCUAAUCAGAAAGCCACGGCUAACUACGUG